Molecule: transfer RNA, 67 nt
Filed under: Thienemanniella nipponica
Lineage: Eukaryota; Metazoa; Arthropoda; Insecta; Diptera; Chironomidae
Description: tRNA-Trp
Source: RNAcentral
AAAGCUUUAAGUUAAAAUUAAACUGUUAACCUUCAAAGUUAAAAAUAAAAAAAAUUUUUAAGCUUUA